AUGCAGAUGAAGCAGUUAGAUGA
Molecule: non-coding RNA, 23 nt
Filed under: Arabidopsis thaliana (thale cress)
Lineage: Eukaryota; Viridiplantae; Streptophyta; Magnoliopsida; Brassicales; Brassicaceae
Source: RNAcentral